This is a long non-coding RNA of Gallus gallus (chicken), 4134 nucleotides long. RefSeq lists it as uncharacterized. Lineage: Eukaryota; Metazoa; Chordata; Aves; Galliformes; Phasianidae. The transcript is spliced from 3 exons. The record is from RefSeq and is a predicted model, not a curated record.
ACAAAACCAGUAAUCUUUACCCACUGAAAAGCUAUUUCAUCCUGUGUAUCUGCAUAGAGCAGACAGGAGACCACAGUGGGAUAGGUUAGAGCAUUAUUUUAUGUACCAAGGUCUGAACUACGUCAAGAUACACCCAACAGUACUUGAAAGGCACAGUGGUGAAACAUCAGUUUGAAAUCAGGAUGAAAUGCGAGGAGCUAAAUAGCUGUUUCCAGGUAAGUGAGGUCUUGCUAGUUCAUAAGCUCUCCUGUAAGUCACUCAGUGGCUGGGGCUGCAGUGCCAAAAACCUGACUUGCCUUUUAAGUUGUAACAGAAAUAACAUUGGUUCUGAAUAUAAAAUUUUCUGUCCCAUGUAUGUUGAAACUGUGCAUCAACGCACUUGAGGCAGAGAUUCAUAACUGUCACUGUCACAGUUUCACCUUCUGUGAGGCCAUACCUGGAGUACUAUGUUCAGGUUUGGGCCCCUCACUACCAGAAAGACAUUGAGGCCCUGGAGUGUGUUCAGAGAAGGGCAGUGGAGCUGUGGGGGGUCUGGAGCACAAGUCUUAUGGGGAGUGGCUGAGGGAACUGGGAUUGUUCCGUGUGCAGAAGAGGAGGCUCAGGGGAGACCUUAUUGCUCUCCACAACUACCUGAAAGGGGGUUGUGGUGAGGUGGGGGUUGCCUUCUUCUCGCAGGUAACAGUAAUAGAGUGAGAGGUAAUGGUCUCUGGUUCUGCCAGGGAGGUUCAGAUUGGAUAUUAGAAACAAUUUCUUCUCUGAAAGAGUGGUGAGGCCCUUGAACAGGCUGCCCUGGGAGAUGAUUGAGUCACCAUCCAUGAAAGUGUUCAAGAAAUGUUUAGAUGUGGUACUUAGGGACAUAGUUAGUGGGCAGUAUCAGUGAUAGGUGGACAGAUGGACUAGAUGAUCUUAAACGUCUUUUCCAACCUUAACGAUUCUAUGAUAAUGACUUUCAGUUCUUAUUUAGGUACUUGAGAAGGAACUUUAAUGAAAGUUUUUAACAAGGAUAAGGGAGAGAAAGAAUAAGGUUUGUUCUUGAUUUGCUUCUGCAUUUAUAGAGGACCCUCAUCCCCAGGGGUGAUGGAUUAGGGAUGAACCUGCGAGAAGACUGUGGGGUGGCAAUCAGGAACAUUUUUCCUGCUAAGUGCAGAUUGCUAGCAGGGAGAAAGAAAACAGGCUUUGGGCAGGAGCUGGUUUCAUGCUGGUGCUCUCAUAAGGUACUGCAGGCUGCUGUGUGUUCUGGUACAUCCACUGGGUCUGGGAAAAUACAAGAAAUGCAUCCUGGAAUUUUUAGCAGGUUUCCCUCCCCCCCCACUCCACUGCUACAGACACCAAUGGAGACGAGAUAAGGACACAGUUUAAGAGCUCUUCCGGAGAAGCAUCUGUAUAUGCAGUUGUACAGGAGAUACUGAAACAAAGAUAAGAACUUUAAGAAUGAUUUUUUUCCAUGCUACUUUCAACUUCUUGAGAAUGCUGUUGCUUUCAUACGUUAUGACAAAAUUUACUUACUGGAUUUUUAUACUGCUGAAUGCCAAAGCUAACAUUCUGAGUCAAAUUAGGUUAAUGAAAUUGAUCUGUUUUGUUAUUUACAGUCUUUUGACUUUUUCUUUUAAAAAGACCAAGUGACAGAUGGUUUGUACUGCUUCUUAUAUGACUGCAAUGGUGCAAACUGAAGCAAUAGCAAAAUCAGUGCUUAUAUAUUUCCAACUGGGAAUUAACUUCAUGAAAUGGGGCUCCUUCAGCAAUCUGGACUAAUUUCCAUGGAGGAAAACAAACAAACAAUCAAUAAAACAAACAAAUAAAUAAAAGGAGGUUUCACCUCCGAAAUGAUGUUGGUGUUUUGGCAGCUUCCCAGUGGAUGAGGUGUUGAAACAGGAUAACUGCUUUCCACACUUACAGUUUGUGCAAAACUGUUAAGAGCAAAUUCAAUCACAGAAAGAUCUGCAGCACCAGUACCUGAAAUUCAGCUUGGUGAACUUGUUCUCUGAACUUCUCGUUGAAGUUAUCGUAACUGUUUAAAUCUCAUUAACUAACUGAACUUGCUGUUUUUGCAAACUCCCACAUAUCAUCAUUGCUUCUGACACUUUCCUAAAAGUUUUCCAUAAUGAAAUUGUUGGUUUAAUGUACUUCAGUUCUCUCAAGUUCAAAUUUUGCAGAAAAUCUGAUAACAUCAAAAAUAUUUUGAACAGCUUUUCUGUGGCCUUAAAGCCAAGUAUUGUGUUCAUUUAGAAGAAGUUUUAAAUAAACAACAAAUUUAGGUCAGCUACAGAACAGCACAUGAUAUUGGGACACUGUGAAAGGGAAACAUACAGGGAACAGAAUCUCCUUGUGGUGAUGCUGUUACCAGGAAGAAAGGAACAUCUCAGCCUCAGAGGCUGAUUUGUAAAUUUCACAGUGCCAAGGAAAUAUAAACAGAUUAUUUAGUGUAGAUAGCACCUUCGCUACACAUAGAUCCCUGAUCUCACAGACCAAGAAGGCACCUGCAGCAUGUCACCUGAAAAGAGAGAAACAGACUUCAAGUUUUAUGCUUGCUUCGGGAAGUUCAUAUUGUUUAUUUUCUUUAUUUCUUCUAGUUAACAAGUUCUCCAGUACCUGAAGGGGGCCUACAGGAAAGCUGUGGAGGGACUUUUUACAAGGGCAUGUAGUGGUAGGAUGAAGAUUAAGAGAUGCAAACUGGAAGAGUGUUGAUUUAUACUAGAUAUAAGGAACAAGUUCUUUAUUGUGAGGGUGGUGAGACACUGGAACAGGUGGCCCAGUGAGGUUGGAUGUUCCCUCCCUGGGGACUUAGGCCAGGCUGAACGGGGCUUUGAGCAACCUGGUGUACUGGGAGGUGUCCCUGCCUAUAGCGGAGGGUUGGAACUAGAUGAUCUUAAAGGUCCCUUCCAACCCAAACCAUUCUAUGAUUCUGUGGUUCUAUGAUUCUUCUCCUUGCCUAGCAAGUGUCCAGCUCUCUGAGUUUAAGGCUGUUCGUGGAGAAUGGUGCUCUUCUAUGAGAGCAAGCUGGUAUGAGAGCUGACAUUGCAGGGAUCAAGAGAAAUCCUGUCUUCCUGACAGCCAAGGAGAGCUUCCAGCAUUCGUCAUGCUAAAUUGAAGCAUGUUUGAAUUCUGAAGGAUCUCAAAGGGUUUUUUAUAACUUAUCCCCAGAAUCUAUGUCCCCCAUAUGUUUAAGAAUGUUUUAAGAUUCCCCAGAAUGCAACACAAAAUGUGUUGGUGACAAGGCAGUUUUUCAAUUGCAGAUACAAAUAAUGGUGUUUGUGUCCUGUGGUGGUAUAGCCUAAUCCAGCAAGAAAUGAUGGUGUUUUUUGACUUUGGUUGAUGUCACUGCCCAGGUUGUUUUUUGAGAUUUAAGAUUUGUUCUUCUAGCAAAUCUAUUACCUUGCAGUAGUUUAUAUAAGCAAAGAUGGGCAUUGGGUGACCAUAUCCUGUAAAUAGAUAAGGAUUAUAAAAUGUAGAACUCUGUCUUCUCAGGAGCACCUGUAAUCUAAGAGCAAGAAUAAAGUCAUUUGGCAACAAAGGCAUUUGAGUUUCCCAGACACUGAAGUGAUCAAAGUCUCAAAAUUUACACUUAAAAUGAAUUUGCUCAAAAAAUUGAUGUAUUAGUAAAAUUUGCUAAAAUUAAUUUAAAAUAAUUCAAAAUAAGUUAUAGCAGCAAGAAGAACAAGACAGUCUAAUUGCUAGUUUUCUGUUCUUAGUUUGCUGUUCUUCCUUUAAGCCCUAUCUGUUUAUGUUGUUUUAAUUAGCAAAGUAUCCCUGCAAUACAACUUAUAUUAUUCUUUUCAUCUUUUUCAUCUAAGACUAUAAGCAUGCAGCUGCUGCUGACUUCUCCAGUCCUGCAUAACCCUGAGGAGCAUUCAAUGAAGAAGAAACUCCUGUGUUGGCAUGAAAUGAAGAUUAACCGUACGGGGGUGAAGUCCUGCAAAGAUUUCUUAAAAAAUUAGCAUCUACCGAAGUAAAUACUGUGCUGUCAGUAGUUAUGGUGUUAGGCUGAAUAGUGGAAAAUCCUCAGUUUGACUAGCCAUUCCUUACUAAGAACUUCCACGCCAUGUUUAACCAUCCAAAAUUUUGGGGUCUCAGUAUGAGCAGUUCUGUCUCAACACUCAAGAGACAAUGCUGGAUACCAGGUUCAAUUCUAUUUGG